Molecule: ribosomal RNA, 448 nt
Filed under: uncultured bacterium
Lineage: Bacteria
Description: bacterial SSU rRNA
Rfam family: Bacterial small subunit ribosomal RNA
Source: RNAcentral
CCCAGACUCCUACGGGAGGCAGCAGUGGGGAAUAUUGGACAAUGGGGGGAACCCUGAUCCAGCGACGCCGCGUGAGUGAAGAAGUAUUUCGGUAUGUAAAGCUCUCUCAGCAGGGAAGAAAGAAAUGACGGUACCUGACUAAGAAGCCCCGGCUAACUACGUGCCAGCAGCCGCGGUAAUACGUAGGGGGCAAGCGUUAUCCGGAUUUACUGGGUGUAAAGGGGGCGCAGACGGCGAUGCAAGCCAGGAGUGAAAGCCCGGGGCCCAACCCCGGGACUGCUCUUGGAACUGCGUGGCUGGAGUGCAGGAGGGGCAGGCGGAAUUCCUGGUGUAGCGGUGAAAUGCGUAGAUAUCAGGAGGAACACCGGCGACGAAGGCGGCCUGCUGGACCGCGACUGACGUUGAGGCUCGAAAGCGUGGGGAGCGAACAGGAUUAGAUACCCCCGUA